Long non-coding RNA from Athalia rosae (coleseed sawfly), 352 nucleotides. RefSeq lists it as uncharacterized. NCBI's taxonomy places the organism in Eukaryota, Metazoa, Arthropoda, Insecta, Hymenoptera, Athaliidae. The record is from RefSeq and is a predicted model, not a curated record. The transcript is spliced from 2 exons.
CCCAAAAUUUGAUUCUAAGCAUCUUCGAAUAAAUUAUUAUGGCGCCCAAGCAGGAAAACAAAAAAAAAGAAAACCAGACUGACAAUAAGAAGAAGGGAAAAGGCGGCAAAGAUAAAAAAAUUAUUAAGAAAAGAUGUGGACCACCGAUGGCCACAGGAACCGUAAUGGCACAGAGAGUUCUACCAUCAAUGGUAUGUUGUCCACCCUCAGGAUGCUCAACGAGGGGGUGUCUCCCAAGUCCAGGUUGCGGAGGCUGUUGAAUUUACGAAAAUGAAUAUAUUUCACAUUUUUGAGCUACACCUGCAGGCAGCCAAAUAAAACUAUAAAUAAACCAAUUCAAAGAUUUCAAUUA